CCCUUAGAUGUCCGGGGCCGCACGCGCGCUACAAUGGAUGAAUCAACGCGUCAUCCUGGCCCGAAAGGGUUGGGGAACCGCUGAACCUCAUCCGUGGUUGGGAUUGGGGUUUGUAAUUAUUCCCCAUGAACUAGGAAUUCCCAGUAAGCGCGAGUCAUAAGCUCGCGUUGAUUACGUCCCUGCCCUUUGUACACACCGCCCGUCGCUACUACCGAUUGGAUGGUUUAGUGAGAUCCUCGGAUUGGUCACGGCACGGUGGCAACACUGCGUCGGUGUGCCGAGAAGACGAUCAAACUUGAUCAUCUAGAGGAAGCAAAAGUCGUAACA
This 327-nucleotide ribosomal RNA is filed under the name uncultured eukaryote. RNAcentral's name for it is "partial 18S ribosomal RNA". It matches the Rfam family "Eukaryotic small subunit ribosomal RNA", at positions 1470 to 1796 of the family's 1831-position model. The record is from RNAcentral.